This 497-nucleotide ribosomal RNA is filed under the name uncultured bacterium. RNAcentral's name for it is "partial 16S ribosomal RNA". It matches the Rfam family "Bacterial small subunit ribosomal RNA", at positions 28 to 507 of the family's 1533-position model. The record is from RNAcentral.
GAUGAACGCUGGCGGCGUGCCUAAUACAUGCAAGUCGAGCGAACGGACGAGAAGCUUGCUUCUCUGAUGUUAGCGGCGGACGGGUGAGUAACACGUGGAUAACCUACCUAUAAGACUGGGAUAACUUCGGGAAACCGGAGCUAAUACCGGAUAAUAUUUUGAACCGCAUGGUUCAAAAGUGAAAGACGGUCUUUCUGUCACUUAUAGAUGGAUCCGCGCUGCAUUAGCUAGUUGGUAAGGUAACGGCUUACCAAGGCAACGAUGCAUAGCCGACGUGGGAGAGUGAUCGGCCACACUGGAGGUGAGACACGGUCCAGGCUCCUACGGGAGGCAGCAGUAGGGAAUCUUCCGCAAUGGGCGAGAGCUUGACGGAGCAACGCCGCGUGAGUGAUGAAGGUCUUCGGAUCGUAAAACUCUGUUAUUAGGGAAGAACAUAUGUGUAAGUAACUGUGCACAUCUUGACGGUACCUAAUCAGAAAGCCACGGCUAACUACGUG